GCCAGGCAUGGUGGCACACACCUGUAAUCCCAGUGGCUUGGGAGGCUGAGACAGGAGAAUCGCAAAUUCAAAGCCAGCCUCAGGAAAAGUGAGGUGCUAAGCAGUGAGAUUCUGUCUCUA
Molecule: small RNA, 120 nt
Filed under: Marmota monax (woodchuck)
Lineage: Eukaryota; Metazoa; Chordata; Mammalia; Rodentia; Sciuridae
Source: RNAcentral